GAACUGGAUGUUGGGUGCAAUUUGGCACGCAGUAUCGAAGCUAACGCGUUAAAUUCGCCGCCUGGGGAGUACGGUCGCAAGACUGAAACUCAAAGGAAUUGACGGGGGCCCGCACAAGCGGUGGAGUAUGUGGUUUAAUUUGAUGCAACGCGAAGAACCUUACCUGGCCUUGACAUGUCGAGAACUUUCCAGAGAUGGAUUGGUGCCUUUGGGAACUCGAACACAGGUGCUGCAUGGCUGUCGUCAGCUCGUGUCGUGAGAUGUUGGGUUAAGUCCCGCAACGAGCGCAACCCUUGUCCUUAGUUGCCAGCACGUAAUGGUGGGAACUUUAAGGAGGCCGCCGGUGACAAACCGGAGGAAGGUGGGGAUGACGUCAAGUCAUCAUGGCCCUUUCGGCCAGGGCUACCCCCGUACUUCAAUGGUAGGGACAGAGGGGUGCAAGCCGGCGACGGUAAGCCAAUCCCAGAAACCCUAUUUCAGUCCGGAUUGGAGUUUGCAACUUGACUCCAUGAAGUUGGAAUCGCUAGUAAUCGCAGAUCAGCAUUGCUGCGGUGAAUACGUUCCCGGGCCUUGUACACACCGCCCGUCACACCAUGGGAGUUUGUUGCACCAGAAGCAGGUAGCUUAACCUUCGGGAGGGCGCUUGCCACGGUGUGGC
RNAcentral lists this ribosomal RNA (658 nucleotides) under Stenotrophomonas maltophilia. RNAcentral describes it as "bacterial SSU rRNA". It matches the Rfam family "Bacterial small subunit ribosomal RNA", at positions 813 to 1468 of the family's 1533-position model. Lineage: Bacteria; Pseudomonadati; Pseudomonadota; Gammaproteobacteria; Lysobacterales; Lysobacteraceae. The record is from RNAcentral.